ACAGAGAUGGCGAGCGUUACUCGGAUUUAUUGGGUGUAAAGGGCAGGCAGGUGUUUUACCAAGUUGUAAGUGAAAUCCUAAGGCUCAACCUUAGAACUGCUUACAAAACUGGUAAAAUUGAGACUAGAAGAGGAAAGCGGAAUUCCCGGUGUAAGGGUGAAAUCUGUAGAUAUCGGGAGGAACACCAGUGGCGAAAGCGGCUUUCUGGUCUAGUUCUGACGCUAAACUGCGAAAGCUCGGGGAGCAAACAG
RNAcentral lists this ribosomal RNA (251 nucleotides) under uncultured prokaryote. Its description in RNAcentral is "partial 16S rRNA". It matches the Rfam family "Bacterial small subunit ribosomal RNA", at positions 525 to 775 of the family's 1533-position model. The record is from RNAcentral.